AGAGCGAACGCUGGCGGCAGGCCUAAUACAUGCAAGUCGAACGGAUCCUUCGGGAUUAGUGGCGGACGGGUGAGUAACACGUGGGAACGUGCCCUUUGGUUCGGAACAACUCAGGGAAACUUGAGCUAAUACCGAAUGAGCCCCCAUCCUUAAACAAGAUGGGUGGGAAAGAUUUAUCGCCAUUGGAGCGGCCCGCGUCUGAUUAGCUAGUUGGUGGGGUAAAGCCCACCAAGGCGACGAUCAGUAGCUGGUCUGAGAGGAUGAUCAGCCACACUGGGACUGAGACACGGCCCAGACUCCUACGGGAGGCAGCAGUAGGGAAUCUUGCGCAAUGGGCGAAAGCCUGACGCAGCCAUGCCGCGUGAAUGAUGAAGGUCUUAGGAUUGUAAAAUUCUUUCAGCGGGACGAUAAUGACGGUACCCGCAGAAGAGCCCGGCUAACUUCGUGCCAGCAGCCGC
RNAcentral lists this ribosomal RNA (458 nucleotides) under uncultured bacterium. RNAcentral's name for it is "SSU rRNA". It matches the Rfam family "Bacterial small subunit ribosomal RNA", at positions 26 to 518 of the family's 1533-position model. The record is from RNAcentral.